GUGCUCACUUCAGCAGCACAUAUACUAAAAUUGGAACAAUACAGAGAAGAUUAGUAUGGCCCUUGCACAAGGAUAACAUACAAAUUCAUGGAACGUUCCCUAUUUUU
Perognathus longimembris pacificus (Pacific pocket mouse) is the source of this 107-nucleotide small nuclear RNA. The record is from RefSeq and is a predicted model, not a curated record. NCBI's taxonomy places the organism in Eukaryota, Metazoa, Chordata, Mammalia, Rodentia, Heteromyidae.